This is a long non-coding RNA of Bombina bombina (fire-bellied toad), 990 nucleotides long. RefSeq lists it as uncharacterized. The record is from RefSeq and is a predicted model, not a curated record. Lineage: Eukaryota; Metazoa; Chordata; Amphibia; Anura; Bombinatoridae. The transcript has 2 exons.
GGUCCCUCUUUUGAAUUUUGAAAUGUUGGGUGGUAUGAUGUAUGUGAACAUAUCUGAUCUAAGUAGCCUUUCUAAAGCUGAAUCAUAUUCCAGCAUAGGUAUAAGUUAGAAACUGAAGUUAAUAAAUGUCUCAAAAUGCUAUUUCUAGCACUAGUGGAGUGUUUAUGGAGAUUAUUGAUCGUGUUAGCUAUCUGGAUCUGUGUUUGUUGACUUGUUGUUAUGAUCUUCCUAUCAAUGAAAGAAAAAUCACUAGUUGAGAGUGAAAACAAACAUUAUAUUGUUCUGGGGUGGUUGUAACCUAUCACUAUGUAGUACAUUAUAGUGCAUUAAUCCACAAUGGAGAUUAGGGACCUGACACAGUUAAGUUUAUUUUUGAGCUAUAUUUGGUAAUAUAUAGUCAUCUAAGAGAUGGCAGCAUUCGUAGAUACAGUUUAAGUAAAUAGUGUGUAGUCAGAGUGAAGAGCAUAUUAAAAGUACACACUAGUUUAGACCUAUACCUCUGUCUCAGCCGCUGACAGAGCACAGGUGUUAUAUUCAAGGGAUGAAACUCCUAUAUAUGAAAAUGCCUGUUGUAGCUGUGACUAUGGAGGUGAAAAAAAUGAAAAUGUAUGCUUACCUGAUAACUUUCUUUCCGGAUAUGAAGAGUCCACAACGUCAUUCAAUUACUAGUGGGAAUAUCACUUCUGGCCAGCAGGAGGAGGCAAAGAGCACAACAGCAAAGCUGUUAAGUGUCACUCCCCUCUCCAUAAUCCCCAGUCAUUUGACAGAAUGGAAAUAGAAAAAGAAUAACACAAAGGUGUAGAGGUGCCUGAGGUUUAGUAAAGAAUAACUGUCUUAAUAAAGGGAGGGAAAGAAAGAAAGAAAGAAAGAAAGAAAGAAAGAAAGAAAGAAAGAAAGAAAGAAAGAAAGAAAGAAAGAAAUCAGGUAAGCAUAAAUUUUGUUUUCUUUCCUAAAAUAUGGAGAGUUCACAACGUCAUUAAAUUACUAGUG